UCGCAGUGGGGUUUAGUCUCUAAAGAGA
This 28-nucleotide small RNA is filed under the name Bombyx mori (domestic silkworm). RNAcentral describes it as "ovarian small RNA-461". The record is from RNAcentral. Lineage: Eukaryota; Metazoa; Arthropoda; Insecta; Lepidoptera; Bombycidae.